RNAcentral lists this ribosomal RNA (496 nucleotides) under uncultured bacterium. RNAcentral's name for it is "partial 16S ribosomal RNA". It matches the Rfam family "Bacterial small subunit ribosomal RNA", at positions 29 to 507 of the family's 1533-position model. The record is from RNAcentral.
ACGAACGCUGGCGGCGUGCCUAAUACAUGCAAGUUGAGCGCUGAAGGUUGGUACUUGUCCCAACUGGAUGGGCAGCGAACGGGUGAGUAACGCGUGGGGAAUCUGCCUUUGAGCGGGGGACAACAUUUGGAAACGAAUGCUAAUACCGCAUAAAAACUUUAAACACAAGUUUUAAGUUUGAAAGAUGCAAUUGCAUCACUCAAAGAUGAUCCCGCGUUGUAUUAGCUAGUUGGUGAGGUAAAGGCUCACCAAGGCGAUGAUACAUAGCCGACCUGAGAGGGUGAUCGGCCACAUUGGGACUGAGACACGGCCCAAACUCCUACGGGAGGCAGCAGUAGGGAAUCUUCGGCAAUGGACGAAAGUCUGACCGAGCAACGCCGCGUGAGUGAAGAAGGUUUUCGGAUCGUAAAACUCUGUUGGUAGAGAAGAACGUUGGUGAGAGUGGAAAGCUCAUCAAGUGACGGUAACUACCCAGAAAGGGACGGCUAACUACGUG